ACCUGCCUCUGCCUCCCAAGUGCUGGGAUUAAAGGCAUGUGCCACCACUGCUAAGCGAGCAAGGAUUUCUUAGAUGGGCUGCUCCAACCUACCCCAGGAUUCCAAGACAAGAAAGGCUGGGGAGAGGGACACUGGAGAGUUACAGGAGGAGGAGACUGAAAACUCUAUGGGAGCCCUGUUGCCUACUGACGUUUUUCCUGGCAUCUGCCCUGUGGCCUGGGCCCAGUGCCCAUGGAAGAAGGAGUUGGUUCGGGUUACAGUCAGGCCCACAGUCCAGAACAGGGGAGGAGCCUGUGUUUAGGGGUGGGGGGCCCCAAGGCAAAGAGUCCCCUCAAGCACUGUGGAGCAUUAGGUUUUGAACGACUCCAUUUAGAAGCAGAAGAAAAGCUCUUGGGAAAUAGGAGGUCUCUGGCUGGCUUCCCAGGAGAACAGCAAGUUCCAGCCAACUGGAGCUCCGGAAGCAGGGAAUUUGUGGGGAGGAAUGGGGCACGGAGCAAGCAGACAUCCUGACCACAGUUCCCCUGGAAGAGCUUUGCUCUCAAGUGAGCAUGUUUCUGGAAAUGGGGAGUGUUUGUCCUCCCAGGUUGUUAUGCACACAGCCAGGGUAUUGUGAACCUAGUCAUUCCCUGGUGUGCAUGUUUUCAGAAGAGGAGUAUUAUAAGCUAUUCAUAGUUCUGCCUGAACAUUCUUUGGAGUAACGGGAUAGACUUCAGCUCCACCUCUUCCUGUCUGAGGGCAGGAAUGGGCCUGCCCUGCUGUCUCCAGGACAGGCUGGGAAAUCACUCUUCUGGACAGCUCCCUUUCAGCCCACCAGAGCCGGGACCCGACAAGCCUCUAGGGGCUUUCGGGCUGUCAGGUGUAAAGCAAGACUCCAGCCAUUUGUUAACCUACGACGGAGUGGGAGGGGGAACAGGGAUGCUGGCAUCUCACAACUGCUUUGUCUUGAGACCUCCCUCACAUUGGCACCCAGAACCAAAGAGCUCCUUAUUCAAGGAUACUACUAGGACUGGAAUCCCUGCAGACCUGGAGAACCCACAUCAGGACAAAGAGACAGGGGUCAAAGGGCACUCCCGCAGAAGGCAUCGUGAGAGUAGCACUGGUGACUGGGGGUGAAUGGGUAUGGUUGGGAAAGCUUGAUGCAUUCCACGGGAAAGGUGGGGCUGUGUAACCCCUCCCACCCAGCAACUCCACUCCUCUUUAAUACCACACAGCACCAGUCCUUCAUGCCUUUUGUCUUAAACUUACUUUACAUUCUUACAUAUGAAAAAAAGACCCCAAAUAACUCGUGUUAGGUGGGUUAAGCUGGUCAAUACUUGCCAUCUUAGUAGUGAAAAUUAAUGUGAAAGGUAAUAAACUCAUGCACACUAAUAUGAGUAAAAUGUUUAUGGGGGAAAAAACCCUCAACUCCCUAUUUUCCAAAACAAAUAAUAGGCAGAACUUGGUGGGCAAGGGGCUCUGUCUGGCAGCAGCCAGCUGGCCUCACCCUGCAUGGCUCUGCUGGGAUACAGCUGCAGGGGAACUCCCUGGGGGGGACUGCAGGGGAACUUCACUUGGGAGGGAAUGGAACUAAAAAUGACAACCCUGCUGUACAUUAGCAAAAUAGCCCUGACUUCACAGACACUUCUGAGGAUGUCAGGGUCCGCAGAGGCCCGUGACACACCUGACCAUAUUGUUCUGGGGACGAUUGUGGAAGGAACUAUGGACUUCAGAAGACAUUGAGUGUUGAGAGCACAUACUUCUGUAGAAGUUUGGGAGAUGAGGAAGUUAAGAGCAGUGCAGAUGGCGGAGUCCUGGUUUGUGACGCGUCAGAGGGAUGCAAAAACUCUACGGGGCUAUUUGUGUGAAGAAUCUAUGGUGUCUGGCCAGGUAGAGUUGAAGAAUCAGCUGUGAUUGACAGGAGACCAGCUGGAGAGAUGGCUCAGUGGUGGCACUGACUGCUCUUCCAAAGGUCCUGAGUUCCAAUCCCACAACCACAUGGUGGAUCACAACCAUCCGUAAUGAGAUCUGAUGCCCUCUUCUGGGGUGUCUGAAGACAGCUACAAUGUGCUUACAUAUAAUAAAUAAAUAAAUCUUAAAAAAAAAAAAACAACAACCAGAACUACUAAAGUAAGACCUUUGCUUGGCUAAUUGAAAAUGGUCCACUGGGGCGGAGGAAUCAGCGGUGAUUAAGAAGAGACCAGCAUCACUGAGGUGAAGUCUUCUGGGAAGUGUUUCCUCAGGGUCAGCACACAGAAGCUGUGGUCCUGAGGUGGCCAAGGUUGUACCUCAUCUGGCAGCCAAGCUCGAUAGCAUAAGAGUCACCCAGGCUUUGAAGGCAUGAAGGGGUCAUGGGGAGCAGCUGAGUCUUGGCAUGUGUGGCAGGGCUGGAGGCCCUGAACAGAGCCCAGGAGAGGCUGUUGGUAAAAGUUGAAGCAAGAGACCCAAGCAGCUUUGGAGAUGCCAGUACCAUGGGAUGGCCACGACUGAUGGCCACAACUGAAUCCGUGGAGUGGAGCCAGUCACAGACUAAAAGAUAGGCUGUCUGUGCUGCAGAGGGCCGAGCUGGAGGAGUGACCCAAGUCCCUUGGAGGAGCCCAGAAGAUGGUUGAGUGAAUCAUUUGUACUGUUGGAGUUUAGUUUUGCUUUGUUAACAUGUGACUGGGCUCUGGUUCUCCCCUCUUGAAAUAAGAAACUACUUAAUUGAGUUUUUGAUUUGACAGGAGCCCAACAGUUGAGAAACUUUGAAUCUUAAAAGACUUUGGAUUUUUAAAGAGACAGCCUAUUUUAAAGAAACUGAAUUUUAAAUCUUUGAAUGUUUAAUGACUGGGAGCUUUUAAACAUCGGGAUGUUUAUAUUGUAAGGUUGAUAUUUAUAUGUGAUCUUGGGAGAGGACAAGAAAGGGAGGAUUAUGACUUAACAGUGAUGUGUUUGUGUCAAGGUGACAAAGGGACAAUUGUAUUGGCUAGUUUUAUGUCACCUCAACACAGACUAGAGUUAUCUGAAAGAAGGGAAUCUCAAAUGAGAAAACGUCUUCAUAAAUUCUAGCUGCAGGGCAUUUUCUUAAUUAAUUAUUGACGUGGGAGGGCCCAGCCCAUUGUAGGUGGUGUCAUCCCUGAGCUGGUGGUCCUGAGUUCUAUAAGAAAGCACUCACGAGGAGCAAGCCAGCAAGCAGCACUCCUCCGUGGCCUCAGAAUCAACUCCUGCCUCCAGGUUCCUGCCCUGGUUUGAGUUCCUGACCUGACUUCUUCCCGUCAUGAACAGUGAUGCGGAAGACUAAGCCAAAUAAACUCUGUCCUCUCCAAGUUGGUUGUGUCAUGGUGUUUCAUCACAGCAACAGAAACUGUGACUGAGACUUGGACAAUACUUUGAGAACUGCUAUUCCUGGAGAACACAAACAAACAAACAAAACCAAAUCCACAUUUCUAUUCCAGCAGAUAAAUGUGUAUUACGUCAGGUUCAAGUUCUAUAGAGAAAGAGGAAUUAAAGUAGAUACUGAGAGUUUUCUCUUCUUAUCCUCUCUUUAGAGGAUGAUUGAAAUUUCUAAUGUCUAAUUGUUAGAGAAUCAUAUUCAGGAUUUUUUUUUUUUUUUUUUUGAGACAGGGUUUGUCUUUAUAGCCCUGGCUGUCCUGGAAUUCACUUUGUAGACCAGGCUGGCCUCGAACUCAGGAAUUUUUUAAAGAUGAUAGAGGAUAUCAAAUUACUAUGACAUUUAAAUUUCAUUGAGACACACUCAAAUGAGUGUGUGUAAGUUUUAAAAAAUGAUCACACACACACACACACACACACACACACACACACACCACACUACUACCAAUUCCCUGGCUUUUUGGAAUGUAACCUUUGACAGCCAUUUAAACUGCACAUGGGCAUUCUUAACCACCAACAAAGCAUUCAGGAGUGGCUCAGGAUUCUUAAAAGACUCUGUAAAUAAAACACCUUGAUGACUCUUGAA
Long non-coding RNA from Mus musculus (house mouse), 3931 nucleotides. RefSeq annotates it as predicted gene, 53672. NCBI's taxonomy places the organism in Eukaryota, Metazoa, Chordata, Mammalia, Rodentia, Muridae. The record is from RefSeq and is a predicted model, not a curated record. The transcript has 2 exons.